CAGCAGCCACGGGAAUACAGAGGGUGCGAGCGUUAAUCGGAUUUACUGGGCGUAAAGCGUGCGUAGGCGGCUAAUUGAGUCGGAUGUGAAAUCCCCGAGCUUAACUUGGGAAUUGCAUUCGAUACUGGUUAGCUAGAGUGUGGGAGAGGAUGGUAGAAUUCCAGGUGUAGCGGUGAAAUGCGUAGAGAUCUGGAGGAAUACCGAUGGCGAAGGCAGCCAUCUGGCCUAACACUGACGCUGAGGUACGAAAGCAUGGGGAGCAAACAGGAUUAGAUACCCGGGUAGUCCCUGUCUCUUAUAC
This 301-nucleotide ribosomal RNA is filed under the name uncultured bacterium. RNAcentral's name for it is "partial 16S ribosomal RNA". It matches the Rfam family "Bacterial small subunit ribosomal RNA", at positions 509 to 807 of the family's 1533-position model. The record is from RNAcentral.